RNAcentral lists this ribosomal RNA (372 nucleotides) under uncultured organism. RNAcentral's name for it is "bacterial SSU rRNA". It matches the Rfam family "Bacterial small subunit ribosomal RNA", at positions 526 to 896 of the family's 1533-position model. The record is from RNAcentral.
CAGAGGGUGCAAGCGUUGUUCGGAAUUAUUGGGCGUAAAGCGCGUGUAGGCGGCCGUGCAAGUCGGGUGUGAAAGCCCUCAGCUCAACUGAGGAAGUGCGCCCGAAACUGCAUGGCUUGAGUACCGGAGAGGAUGGCGGAAUUCCCGAAGUAGAGGUGAAAUUCGUAGAUAUCGGGAGGAACACCGGUGGCGAAGGCGGCCAUCUGGACGGAUACUGACGCUGAGACGCGAAAGCGUGGGUAGCAAACAGGAUUAGAUACCCUGGUAGUCCACGCCGUAAACGAUGAGAACUAGGUGUUGUGGGUGUUGACCCCCGCGGUGCCGAAGCUAACGCAUUAAGUUCUCCGCCUGGGAAGUACGGCCGCAAGGCUA